GUGCACUGUCUUUGAACCUGUGUAGCCCUCUCAAUGGCUUCACAGGCCAAGCUACAGUUGUAAAAGCAAAGACCAGGGCCCCGUUUCCCAAAGGCAUCU
This 99-nucleotide small nucleolar RNA is filed under the name Hucho hucho (huchen). The record is from RNAcentral. Lineage: Eukaryota; Metazoa; Chordata; Actinopteri; Salmoniformes; Salmonidae.